CCACCGGACGGUCCUGGGUUCUAUAAGAAAGCAGCUGAGCAAGCCAUGGGGAGCAAGCCAGUCAGCAGUGCCCUCCAUGGCCUCUGCAUCAGCUCCUGCCUCCAGGACCCUGUCUGACUCUGAAUGAUGGAGUGUGACUGAGACAUGUUCGCUGAAAUGAAACUAAAGUUACUUAGCCAUCAUGGCAUUUUAGCAUAGCUAUGGAGACCCUAACUAAGACAUACCUGCUCCCAGCCCACUCUGUCCUGGUCACUGACUCCCCAGGGUCUCUCCCACGCUCUCACUGGUGGGUGGUGGGUCUGCCCCAGAUGGACGUGUCACACAGCUAUCCCUGUGGAGGUCGGGGAGGGUUAGCAUCACAGAUGUCCAGAUGGGGGCAUUGCAAAAGCUGACCUGAGACCUUACUCUAUGAAUCUCAUUCAGGGUGACUGCGCCGUGUGCCUGAGGAUGCUCAGACAUGCCUGGAGACGUCUGUGGGUGUCACUCUGGAGGAGAGGGGACUGGGACUUGUCCCAGGACAUUGUGAACACCGUUACACACAAAGGGGUCUGAGUGCAGAUCCACAGCAUCCAUAUGAAAUGCCAUGCGUAGCCGUACAUAGCUGAAACCCCUGUGCUGGGAGCUGGAGACAAGAGCGUCCCCAGGGCUCACUGUCCAGUCAGUCUGGCUGAGUUGGCAGCUGCAUGGUCAGUGAGAGACUCUGCUCCAAAACACAUGUUGGAGAGCAGCCGCAGAUGACUGCCUAUGCUCUCUGUGUAUAUGCAAGAGUGGUCAGUCAGCUGCUGGCUUUGCCAUGGGGUGAAUUCCAGGCAGAUGGACAGGCCAGGCAGAGAUGGCAUGAGCGAGGGGACAGGCUGCCAGGCACACUAGGCCAAGGUUUUGGGGCAGGAAAGUAGAGGAGGGUCAGAGGUCAGGCCAGUGUCCACCUUCAGGGAGGAAGCACACAGGACUGUGGAGCGCUGGGUGCUCCGCUGGGAGCGACGGCGUCAUCACUACCUGGGAGGUAGAGGCAGGACAAUGAGGACUUCAAGUGUCCCUCCUCUACAUGGAGUUGGAGGCGAUCCUGGGUUCCUGGAGACCAUUGGCAACGACAACAAAGCGUUGAGUGGGGGUGACCGGGAGCCUCAGCCUCGUGGGUGGCCCCGUGCGUCUCCCCAGCCUGGGUGCAGAGCUGAGGCUGUGGGAGACGCUCUGUUUACGUUUCCAUCUCCUGGUAGGCUCCACCCCUCUCUGCGGCUGGCAUGUUGGAAGUAGGCAGAAGACAGGAGGCCAAUGUCCCCGCAGGCCUGGGUGGGCCUGGGGACACACACCUGCCUGGGCUAGGGAGCCUCAGAGAGGACAGUUUUGGAUUCCCAGGCCAACUCUGAGGUUCUGUGAUCUGACCACAUUGGGGAAACUGAGGCCAGGAGCAUUCACUAAGGGGUUUCCACAGCAUGUGGGGGUUCUGGCCUCUCGGUCACCACUGGGGAGUGGAAAUCCAUUUCCUUCCUCCUCGUGUCUCAAGGAACUGGGGGUCUGGACAGAGCUCGGGGCAGGGAUGUGGCCCCAAUCCCUCACCCACAGGGAACACCCAGAGGCUGGGGCAGCAGUAUGUCCUACGGGGCACCAGGGAGGUCUUCCUGAGUUGUUGUGGGUGAAGAGGGGAAUGCCCUUGGGAGCCCCCACUCUGGGGCAGAGGUACAUCUGUCUUCAGCCCCCUGGUCACUGAGAAAGCUGGGCAGGGGAAGACACCUGUGAGCCGCGAAGCCAGGUGUCUGCAGAUGUCAGGCUCAUGGCAAGCUGCGGUCAAACGUCCUUGCCCUUUGCUGGGCAGCAAUGCUCUCCAGAGAGACAGUAUAUCCUGCAUAGUCUCCUUAAGCUGGAAGGUGAACAAAACAGCUUUAGGAAGUCCCUGAAACCAACCGUUUCACUGGGCUCCCCCAGCCAGAGUGAGCAAUAAAAGCUGAGGGUCCUGUCCAGAAAUUGAGCUGCCUGGAAGAGGCUUCGGUCCGUUAAGGUGCCUGGAAGGGAGCUCUCCAGCCUGUUGCUCCAGCACAGCACUCCAGGCUGUGCUGUGCCCUCCAGGUUCCCAACUCUGUGAGCUGUCACCUGUGCUGGGGUGGGCCUUGGUGACACAGCUGUCUCCCCUCACCCAUGUGCCUGUCAGUGACUCCAGUAAAGCUUAUGGUUCACCACGCAGGACUUUGGUGGUGUGCUGUGGGGUCCCUACUCAGGUAAGUAGCCGGGUGUGUUACAUGUCCCCAGGAAGGUCUUCCAUGUCACACACCAUCGGCACCCGAAGAGGACCAUGCCCAAACCGAAGGUCACCUGGGGACAGGCGGGUGCAUGGUCCAGGCUGUGGGUGGCAGGGCAUGCUACUGAGGCCAACCAGCUUGGGAGGCAGACCUUGUGGGGGAGACGCCGGCAGGCUCUUCUUUCCUGGGCGCCUUGUGCUGUGGUGGCAGCUGCGUGUUUCUUAUUGCAGGUAGCGAGGUGUGGAAUGACCCUGAACCAUCAGGAUCUAGAGUGUCAGAGGGGACCCCGUCACGACAGUCCCUCUGUGUGGUGUGAGGUGGCAUGCCUGCAUCAUGAGUGUGGUCCUCCACAGGAAUACAGACAUGCCCUGAAGACACCUAAAGGGAGGCUCCUUAAACAGCAAGGUGAACAAAACAGCUACAGGAAGUUCCUGAAACAAACAGGUUUCAUUAGGCUCCUCCCCACCAGAGUGAGCAAUAAAAUCUGAGGAAACUGAGCUGCCUGGAAGAGGCUCGGGUCAACUGAGGCGCCUGGAAGGGAGCUCUCCAGCCUGUUGUGUGGCCUGCAGGCUGUGCAGUGCCUCCAGAUUCCCAACUCUGUGGUGUCACCCGUGCUGGGGUGGGCCUUGGUGACACAGCUGUCUCCCCUCACCCACGUGCCUGUCAGUGACCCCAGUAAAGCUCAUGGUUCACCGA
Long non-coding RNA from Mesocricetus auratus (golden hamster), 2930 nucleotides. RefSeq lists it as uncharacterized. The record is from RefSeq and is a predicted model, not a curated record. NCBI's taxonomy places the organism in Eukaryota, Metazoa, Chordata, Mammalia, Rodentia, Cricetidae. The transcript is spliced from 2 exons.